RNAcentral lists this ribosomal RNA (678 nucleotides) under uncultured Bacillus sp. Its description in RNAcentral is "bacterial SSU rRNA". It matches the Rfam family "Bacterial small subunit ribosomal RNA", at positions 70 to 730 of the family's 1533-position model. Lineage: Bacteria; Bacillati; Bacillota; Bacilli; Caryophanales; Bacillaceae. The record is from RNAcentral.
CGACGGGAGCUUGCUCCCUUAGGUCAGCGGCGGACGGGUGAGUAACACGUGGGUAACCUGCCUGUAAGACUGGGAUAACUCCGGGAAACCGGGGCUAAUACCGGAUGCUUGAUUGAACCGCAUGGUUCAAUCAUAAAAGGUGGCUUUCAGCUACCACUUACAGAUGGACCCGCGGCGCAUUAGCUAGUUGGUGAGGUAACGGCUCACCAAGGCGACGAUGCGUAGCCGACCUGAGAGGGUGGUCGGCCACACUGGGACUGAGACACGGCCCAGACUCCUACGGGAGGCAGCAGUAGGGAAUCUUCCGCAAUGGACGAAAGUCUGACGGAGCAACGCCGCGUGSAGUGAUGAAGGUUUUCGGAUCGUAAAACUCUGUUGUUAGGGAAGAACAAGUACCGUUCGAAUAGGGCGGCACCUUGACGGUACCUAACCAGAAAGCCACGGCUAACUACGUGCCAGCAGCCGCGGUAAUACGUAGGUGGCAAGCGUUGUCCGGAAUUAUUGGGCGUAAAGCGCGCGCAGGCGGUUUCUUAAGUCUGAUGUGAAAGCCCCCGGCUCAACCGGGGAGGGUCAUUGGAAACUGGGGAACUUGAGUGCAGAAGAGGAGAGUGGAAUUCCACGUGUAGCGGUGAAAUGCGUAGAGAUGUGGAGGAACACCAGUGGCGAAGGCGACUCUCU